GAGAGAGAAAGGGAAGGAGACAGAGAGAAAAGAGGAUCCAAGAGGGGCGCGAGAACUGUCUCACUAUCACCAAGAAAACCAAAACGGAAAUAUAAAAAAAAAAAAGAGAGAAGAAAACAAUGGCAGCAGCUAGAAGAGCUACCAAACUUCCCAUGCUUCCAUUCUCUUUCACAUAGAAAAUGAGACCUAUCUCUCUCUGUAAACCCUAAUCUCCCAUUUCCUCUGCAACCUAUACGCUCAUAUGCCGCUUUAGCUCUUCAAGGCUCGAUUUUCCUUUGCCUUUUGGCGAUACAUUUCCAAUUUGAUUCUCUAUUUUGAUCUAUUUGUCUCUUGAUUUUGACAAUGGAGGCAUUGAUGCAGCUCUGCGACGUGGCGGCGCAGAAUCCGGCACAAUUUGCGGAAAAAUUGGCGGUUUUGUAGCCGAUGUCCGCAACCGGACUCGUUGCUCGCCGGAUCGCCUAGGGUUUCGCGUUCGCAGCUCAAUGCGGUCCUCGCCGUGGCUUUAUUCCUCUCCAAGUGUUCUGUCUCUACCGAUAACAGGCC
RNAcentral lists this unclassified non-coding RNA (543 nucleotides) under Hevea brasiliensis (rubber tree). Lineage: Eukaryota; Viridiplantae; Streptophyta; Magnoliopsida; Malpighiales; Euphorbiaceae. The record is from RNAcentral.